CCCAGAGCAACGCGCAUUCUGCUACUNNCUACCCUUUCACAGGUCCAGACAGAGUAAGGAUUGACAGAUUGAUAGCUCUUUCUUGAUUCUUUGGGUGGUGGUGCAUGGCCGUUCUUAGUUGGUGGAGUGAUUUGUCUGGUUAAUUCCGUUAAGCGAACGAGACUUUAACCUGCUAACUAGCUGCUUGGAUGUUGUCCUCGUUUGCUUCUUAGAGGGACUCCUGUGCUUCAAGCGUGGGGGAAGUUUAAGGCAAUAACAGGUCUGUGAUGCCCUUAGAUGUCCUGGGCUGCACGCGCGCUACACUGAUGCAUCCAUCGAGUUUGUCCUGUCCCGAAANGGGUCUGGGUAAUCUUUGGUGUGCAUCGUGUCGGGGAUUGAUUUUUGCAAUUCUAAAUCAUGAACGAGGAAUGCGUAGUAUGCGCAAGUCAUCAGCUUGUGCAGAUUACGUCCCUGCCUUGGGAACAAGGAUNC
RNAcentral lists this ribosomal RNA (471 nucleotides) under Babesia bigemina. RNAcentral's name for it is "bacterial SSU rRNA". It matches the Rfam family "Eukaryotic small subunit ribosomal RNA", at positions 1199 to 1659 of the family's 1831-position model. Lineage: Eukaryota; Apicomplexa; Aconoidasida; Piroplasmida; Babesiidae. The record is from RNAcentral.